UACAGAGGUCUCAAGCGUUGUUCGGAUUCAUUGGGCGUAAAGGGUGCGUAGGCGGCGCGGUAAGUCGGGUGUGAAAUCUCGGAGCUUAACUUCGAAACUGCAUUCGAUACUGCCGUGCUUGAGGACUGGAGAGGAGACUGGAAUUUACGGUGUAGCGGUGAAAUGCGUAGAUAUCGUAAGGAAGACCAGUGGCGAAGGCGGGUCUCUGGGACGUUACUGACGCUGAGACGCGAAAGCGUGGGGAGCAAACAGG
This 253-nucleotide ribosomal RNA is filed under the name uncultured bacterium. RNAcentral describes it as "partial 16S ribosomal RNA". It matches the Rfam family "Bacterial small subunit ribosomal RNA", at positions 524 to 776 of the family's 1533-position model. The record is from RNAcentral.